Molecule: ribosomal RNA, 497 nt
Filed under: uncultured bacterium
Lineage: Bacteria
Description: partial 16S ribosomal RNA
Rfam family: Bacterial small subunit ribosomal RNA
Source: RNAcentral
GACGAACGCUGGCGGCGUGCCUAAUACAUGCAAGUUGAGCGCUGAAGGUUGGUACUUGUACCAACUGGAUGAGCAGCGAACGGGUGAGUAACGCGUGGGGAAUCUGCCUUUGAGCGGGGGACAACAUUGGGAAACGAAUGCUAAUACCGCAUAAAAACUUUAAACACAAGUUUUAAGUUUGAAAGAUGCAAUUGCAUCACUCAAAGAUGAUCCCGCGUUGUAUUAGCUAGUUGGUGAGGUAAAGGCUCACCAAGGCGAUGAUACAUAGCCGACCUGAGAGGGUGAUCGGCCACAUUGGGACUGAGACACGGCCCAAACUCCUACGGGAGGCAGCAGUAGGGAAUCUUCGGCAAUGGACGAAAGUCUGACCGAGCAACGCCGCGGGAGUGAAGAAGGGUUUCGGAUCGUAAAACUCUGUUGGUAGAGAAGAACGUUGGUGAGAGUGGAAAGCUCAUCAAGUGACGGUAACUACCCAGAAAGGGACGGCUAACUACGUG